UGGGUGCAACGCCAUAUCACUGAGCAUGAGGCCUGGCUUCCUUAACGCUUACCAAAGAACUGGAUGACACAGCCCUGUGGGCAAACUAUGACCAAUGGGAAAUGGAAGAAGUUAGGAAAGAGGAAGUUGGAUAUAAACCAUGAUACAUCCAUAAAAUAGGCAACAAUUUCAAAAACAAGAUUGAUCUGACUUCUAAAUGAUUUUUUAAGUGUGAAAAGCAAGGAGAUAGAUGGAUACAUAAUUGUCUGCUAGCCAGGGAAUUUCUUGAAAAGCAUCCAAAGGAAAUAAAUGAUGGUAAGACCGUGCCAAAUGUGGAGCAGACACCAAAGUAAGACCUAACACAUAAAGCAGAGAGACAUGUUUAAUAGCCCAAACCUCAUAAAGGCAAUGACUGAAAAGCCAAUCAGCAGAAAUGGGAUGAUUAGAAAAAAACAAAACAAACAAAAAAGCAAAGGCUGAAAAGCCAAAAGUAAAACUUAGGCUACAUAUUUUCAAGUUCUUUUAGGAUGGCAGGUAUUCAUUUCUUCAGUUUACCUGUGGCCAUAAAAGGAGAUUCAAAGAUAACAGUCUUAGUUCUGUCAUCUUGGGCUAUUUGCUCACUUAUAAAUGAAAUAAAAUUCUGCAAUUCUAUUACGUUAGUUCCUCAUUUUAUGUAUGUAUGUAUGUAUGUGUGUGUGUGUAUAUAUAUAUCUUAUAAAGGUAAAAAACUGGAAAGAUACCUACUAGAUCCUUUGCAUUGCCUCUAAAGCAUAUACUUUUUUCAGAAAGAGGAUCAGGAAACUCUUCUAGAAGGCCAUGUUUAUUAGAAGUGGUACUAGGCAUUCAAUGAAAAAAGUAAUCUAUUUCUCUUUGCAUAGAUUAAAUCCAGAAACGGGCAAAACUCUGUAUUUACAUUUAUUUUGGCAACAAUAUAGAUAAGUUAUUCAAGAUUAAUUUAUUGAAUAAUGAAUAGUUGGUU
Molecule: non-coding RNA, 958 nt
Organism: Microcebus murinus (gray mouse lemur)
Lineage: Eukaryota; Metazoa; Chordata; Mammalia; Primates; Cheirogaleidae
Source: RefSeq, a predicted model, not a curated record